Molecule: non-coding RNA, 23 nt
Filed under: Cricetulus griseus (Chinese hamster)
Lineage: Eukaryota; Metazoa; Chordata; Mammalia; Rodentia; Cricetidae
Source: RNAcentral
AAUAACAGAGUUGAAAGUGGACU